UCUCCGUAGGUGAACCUGCGGAAGGAUCAUUAUUGUAUAACCGAGGUGCGAGGGCUGUCGCUGACCCGAAAGGUCGUGCACGCCCGAGUGCCCUCACACACAUCCAUCUCACCCCUAUGUGCACCACCGCGUGGGUCCCCCUUUGGCUUGUUCGGAGGGGGGCUUACGUUUUCACACAAACUUUGUAUGCAGUGUAGAAUGUAUUUUUUGUUUUUGCGAUCACGCAAUCAAUACAACUUUCAACAACGGAUCUCUAGGCUCUCGCAUCGAUGAAAAAGCAGC
This 282-nucleotide unclassified non-coding RNA is filed under the name plant metagenome. RNAcentral describes it as "partial contains small subunit ribosomal RNA, internal transcribed spacer 1, and 5.8S ribosomal RNA". The record is from RNAcentral.